GUCCGUCCCAUGACCUUUCCUCCACUGACUCAUCAGAGCAUCUGUUGUUGUCACCUCCCCAGUGUCCUGGGGACCAGCUUUAUCACAAGAAAAAAGACCUGUUCAAAGUCUCCAUUUUUAAAUGCCAGUCCUGGGCUGCCUGAAGAUGAUCCAGCCCAUGAAGAGAAAGCUGGCAGGAUAGAAGGACAGGAGCGACCAUCCAUCAAGGCACAUUGUCACCAGCCCAGCAGGCAGCAAGCCCCAAGUUGGAGGGGACAAGCUCUCACAAGCCCACAUUUUUGGGCCUGGUUCCUGUUUCAUGUGGCAGCAGGUUGGCCUCGACCCGGUGCCUGCCCCAACAGAGCAGGACACGGCAGCUUGAAAGGGACUGUCAGGAGAGGAACAGCUGAGAGCCACACCGACCCCGGCGCGUGUAUAAAUAGAGACAGAGCUGUUAUCCUGAUGAAAUGAGACCAGAUGUUUCUCCCAAAUCCCUCCUCUCUGCUAGUGAAAAUUAUAGUUUAGUUACAGCAGGGCAAAGCGGGCAGCAAAAUAUUUAAGACCAACUAAUGUUGGGAAGUCAAAGGGGCAAAAUGACUUACUGGGGUAGGGGUAUCAUGCCCUGUGAUGCUGCAGGGAUGGAUAGAGCAUGGUCAGAGUGGGAACCAGAGGAGUCCCUCACUGCUUUUGUUCUGUUUUUCUGCUUCCUACCCCAGUAUUAAUGGGCUGAGUUUUAAAGCCCAUGCUGUGGCCGCUUUUGUGAGGUAGAAAUUCAGAGUCAGCACAUGUAUCCUGGAGGCAGUUGGCACGAGAUGAAGGAGGGACGGCAGCAGCAGUUAAAACUGGGUCUUGGCUCUUUAAUAUUUAACUUUCUCCAGUGCUUGGGGUUUUUAUUAAUCAGUUUGUGCAUUAUCUGCCAUCCCCAUUCAAAGAGGGUUUUAGCACAGAGAUUUCAGUGCUUAAUCCCAGAGGCAGGGAGAGUGGAAGAGUCUCUCUGAAGGUUCCAGUGCUCAAUCUGGCCUCAAUUACACCAGCCUAAAUCAGCAAAGAGCAGCCACGACGGACUUUGCCGUGACUGCAUUGGGCUGAAGGUAACGAAGUUAGGGGUCAGUCCUGUAUCUCUCCAGGAGAUACCUCUGGUCCCUAAGGCUCCAGCCAUAAGGGAGUUCCCAGGAGGAGAACCCUGCUGUCAGACUGGCUCAGAAUAAACUUCUACCUUGGGCAACAACUGGGGCUUGGCUGUGGCCAGCUGCAGACGCUUAGGAAGGGAUAUCGGAAGAGAGAGAGUAUAAAGGGAUCCUUCCUCUGGCAUUUCCUCCCGGCUCCUAGCAAUCAGCAGUUGAGGGACUUCCUAAACGGAGGUUGCAUGAAUUUGUGUAAUCCCUUUUGGUUUUUUUUCUCAUUCAUUUAUACUUUUGGCCUCCAUGACAUCCUGUGACAAUAAGUUCCACAAUGUAAUUAUGUGUUGUGUGAAAAAGUACUUCCUUUUGUCUGCUUCAGACCUGGCUCCUGAACAUUUCUCUCCAUGUUCUUGUGUUAGAAGAAAAGGGAAAAAGAAUUCCAGGUCCAUACCAGACCGCUCUUGACCUCUUCAGACUCCUCUGUCUUUAUUUGGCCCCAAGGUUUUGUUCUUCCAAACUAGAGCCUCCUUGUUUUUCUAGUCUUUCCUCCUCACAUGGUAUCUAUCCCAUCACUUCCACUGUCCUUGCCGCCCUCCUCCAUGUCUCUUCUCAUUUUCUUAUUGCCUUUUUUCUUUUUGAGAUACGAUCACUGAAGUGAGACUUGCUCACUUCUGAAGACAUGAAUUCAUUCUCCUGGAAGAAGGUCAGCUCAAAAGCUUUCUUUUCUCAAGUCAUAUUGGUGUACUUUGAUUUCUUCUACAACACAUAAAGCAGUCUUGGGCUUAAUGAAAAUAUACACACGGCUCUCUUCAAAUACUUGGGUUUAACGUAUUCUGAGCAAACCCCCAGCCCUAAUUUAACUAUUGUCUGUAGGUUAAAAUGACAUCCACAAGUAGAUUAACUAAUGGGGCUGGUUUACAUGAAGGGAAUUUCAUGCAUGUGCUUAUAUUACUGCUCAUUUAUGCCUUCACAAAUGCCCUGAGCACUACUGGUGGAGAAGACCCCCAGCCAGAACAGCUGAACUGGUGAGCAUGAAACGUGGGAUUCUCUGAUUUCCAGGACAUCUUUAUUUAUAAAAGAUGUCUAUUUUUGCUCCUGUCAUGCCCGCAAAACCAGCCUUCCUCUUUUAGUUAUCCCUGCUCUUUAUUAUUGUUUAUGUUGUCUUGAACCCCGUGGAUAAAGGCCGGAGAAUGGAUUUUGUCUUCUGCUGCCAUGUGAAUUUCAGAAACCACACUAGCCAGUCCUUCCAGACCUUGCUGUUAGGAUGGCUUGAUCAUACUUGCAGAUACAACCAGUCCUCACUUGAUGAGAACCAGUUGCUGCUGUCUUGCGCCGCUCCUGCAUCAACAUCAUCCCAGGAUUGUGCAGCAGCUUUUUUUAAACUCCACUUUUGGCAGAAGCUUAGCAGCCACAUCCUUCCCUCGCAAUGCACCAGCUCCUCUCCUGCUUCUCCAGGCAGCUUCACCCCCCCUUUCCCCCCAUGUCCGCUUGUGUGAGUUUCCUGCAGCAGGGAAAGAGCUCAGCCUCAAGUGAGGGAUGGGGAUGUCUGUCUGGGAGGCUGGCAGCAAGAAGGGGGCUAUGGGGAGAGUAGGAGGGGAAAGCCUUGAGGAGUUUAUUGGAUUGUGGCCACUAAAUGAUAAGCUGGGAGAAUAUGUAUGUUUUAUAUUAUCAGGAGCAUUGGGAGUGAGCAGAGGCAGAGAGCAUGUAGGAGGAAAAAACUGCUUUUCCUACUGCUUUACAGUAUUAUUAUGGCAAUUUAUGCAGAUGUCUGAUCUGGAAAGAGUAUCCCACACACCCUCAACUCUCAGAACUUUAGAAAACCACGCUGCAGAACAUGUUUUAGGGUGGGAAGGAGAAAGGAAAUCUUACUGGGUGUCCCAGCUGUGCUGCUUCUGUGCAGAAUCACCCGUGUCCCAGUGGUGGAGGGUCAAAUCCUUGCCAGAUUUCAUCUUGGUUUAACUCUUCCUGGUCAAAAGGGUAGUUUUAAAAUUCUGUUUCCCCAAAGAAUUGAGGCUGACACCACUAAACUCACUGGAUCUUUCUUGCCCCUGGUCCUGUCUCUUACCUUCUACAACCUCAGGAAACAAUGAACUCACUGGUUUGUUUUAAACAAAGCAAACAGAGAGAUAAAGGUCCAAGAGCUAAACCUGGUGCAGUGAGAUCCUACAAGCCUCUUCACUGAGGGUGUCCACCCUCUGCCAGAUACCAGGUAUGAAUCUGUAGGAAACUGGACUACACCAGUUUUGCCAAACACGAAACAACCUAACAUUUGGAAGAAGGAGGUCUCUUCGUUUGCUAACUCAGCCUGGAAAUCACAGCAGGCUGCAUAUGCCCACCAUGGCAGAACUCAUCCCAUUCUCUCCCAGUUGGAUAGAGAAUGAACCAAUUGCAGGGCGAGAUUCAGAUCAAGCUCUCAGUCAAGCAUGAGACAGAAACUCACAGAAAUGAGGUUUCAUCAAUUAAUCAUGGGGCUGGCAGGACUUUUUUCCUCCAUUGAAACAGUUAAUGCAGCUUCCAUCGCAGACACAGCUAUGUGGUUAGAGGGCACUGUUCACUGCCACUUUGCAAGUCCUCAGCUCCCAAAAGGAGCUUUUGGGAACUCCUAAGACAAACCUUCAUGUUUGGGCAAUGCAUCGGGAUCUGACAAGCUGCGGAGCUUAGAGAGUUGUAGUCCUUCCUUUCUAAGUGAAGUUGCUGUUCUUCAGCCACAACUUCUGUGUAAACCCUCUUUAUUCUGCUCUGCUGCAAAACAAAACAAGAUGACAGAAAUGCGGUUAGAAGGUGUGGGAGCUGUUAUCUACUUUAAAGCAGCUUUAUGGCAGCAUAACUGCUACAGGUCCGCGCUAAAUCAACUGCUCUUUCAAUAAAGAAAAAAUUGUUAGUGCCUUUAAUUUGUGUACAGAGGUGAGCCCUUGGAAACAGCCUGUGCUAAUGGAGAUAAUCACUGGAUCUGAGUGCUUGGGUGAACCCAUGUAGCUCAUAUUGAUCACAGACGGGCGCAGACUCGGCCCAAGAGAUUACAGCGUUGGAACCCAAAGUAAGCUGAACCCCUCUGUCCACCUUCAAAUUCAACUCACAAUGCCACGAUUUAAAAGACACUGCAGGAUCCAUGCUUUUUUCACGGCUGUUCUAUUCUAGACUUUUAAAGAGCAUGUACCUUAAGCACUGGGAAAUUAACCAAAAUAGAAAGGUGAAAUACAAACCUGAAACAUGGUGUACUGGGGGAGGCCAGUAAACAGACAUUCAGGACAAACCAGCCCACAAAUCUCCUAAAUGAAAUGCACUUAAUCAAGCCAGUUGUCCUCUUUUCCCCGAAGCAUAUCUCAUAUACCUGAGAAACAGCCUGUGUGAGUACAUGAAAGAUUUAUCAGUCUCGGUCAGGCGUGCGAGCGCAGGUCUGAGCCUGGGGAACCCACGGCAGCCGCUGUUUGAGGCUAAACCCACCAGCCCCGCGUUGCUGCGGGAGAACGGGCCGCAGUGAGAGGCGUGCGGUCCCCGCCGGAUCACCCCGAUUUGUAUUCACUCCUUCGGGACGCCUCUCCCGAGCCGCGACUCCCCUUCCCGGCGGGGGGGGGGGGGGGGGGGGGGGGGGGGGGGGGGGGGGGGGGGGGGGGGGGGGGGGGGGGGGGGGGGGGGGGGGGGGGGGGGGGGGGGGGGGGGGGGGGGGGGGGGGGGGGGGGGG
RNAcentral lists this long non-coding RNA (4782 nucleotides) under Ficedula albicollis (Collared flycatcher). Its description in RNAcentral is "lncRNA (ENSFALG00000020055.2)". The record is from RNAcentral. Lineage: Eukaryota; Metazoa; Chordata; Aves; Passeriformes; Muscicapidae.